RNAcentral lists this ribosomal RNA (465 nucleotides) under uncultured bacterium. RNAcentral describes it as "partial 16S ribosomal RNA". It matches the Rfam family "Bacterial small subunit ribosomal RNA", at positions 28 to 507 of the family's 1533-position model. The record is from RNAcentral.
GACGAACGCUGGCGGCGUGCUUAACACAUGCAAGUCGAACGGAAAGGCCCCUUUGGGGGUACUCGAGUGGCGACCGGGUGCGUAACGCGGGGGUAACCUUCCCUUGCCUUCGGGAUACCUUCAGGAAACUGGGGCUAAUACCGGCUAGGAAUCCUUGCUGCACGGUGGGGGUUGGCAAGCUUCGGCGGUUGUGGAUGGACUCGCGGCUUAUCAGCUUGUUGGUGGGGGAGUGGCUUACCAAGGCGUUGACAGGUAGCCGGCCUGAGAGGGGGACCGGCCACAUUGGGACGGCGAUUCGGCCCAGAAGCCUACGGGAGGCAGCAGUGGGGAAUAUUGCACAAAGGCCGCAAGCCAGAUGCAGCAACGCCGCGUGCGGGAUGACGGCCUUCGGGUUGUAAACCGCUUACAGCAGGGGCGAAGCUUGUGGUGACGGUACCUGCAGAAGAAGCACCGGCUAACUACGUG